GAACGUGCCCUUCGGUUCGGAAUAACUCAGGGAAACUUGAGCUAAUACCGGAUACGUGUGAGAGCAGAAAGAUUUAUCGCCGAAGGAUCGGCCCGCGUCCGAUUAGCUAGUUGGUGAGGUAAUGGCUCACCAAGGCGACGAUCGGUAGCUGGUCUGAGAGGAUGAUCAGCCACAUUGGGACUGAGACACGGCCCAAACUCCUACGGGAGGCAGCAGUGGGGAAUAUUGGACAAUGGGCGCAAGCCUGAUCCAGCCAUGCCGCGUGAGUGAUGAAGGCCUUAGGGUUGUAAAGCUCUUUCGCCAGGGACGAUAAUGACGGUACCUGGAUAAGAAGCCCCGGCUAACUUCGUGCCAGCAGCCGCGGUAAUACGAAGGGGGCUAGCGUUGUUCGGAUUUACUGGGCGUAAAGCGCACGUAGGCGGAUCUUUAAGUCAGGGGUGAAAUCCCGAGGCUCAACCUCGGAACUGCCUUUGAUACUGGAGGUCUCGAGUCCGGGAGAGGUGAGUGGAACUGCGAGUGUAGAGGUGAAAUUCGUAGAUAUUCGCAAGAACACCAGUGGCGAAGGCGGCUCACUGGCCC
RNAcentral lists this ribosomal RNA (579 nucleotides) under uncultured bacterium. RNAcentral describes it as "bacterial SSU rRNA". It matches the Rfam family "Bacterial small subunit ribosomal RNA", at positions 122 to 735 of the family's 1533-position model. The record is from RNAcentral.